RNAcentral lists this ribosomal RNA (519 nucleotides) under uncultured Bacteroidota bacterium. Its description in RNAcentral is "bacterial SSU rRNA". It matches the Rfam family "Bacterial small subunit ribosomal RNA", at positions 397 to 916 of the family's 1533-position model. The record is from RNAcentral. Lineage: Bacteria; Pseudomonadati; Bacteroidota.
CCGCGUGGAGGAGGACGGUCUUCUGGAUGGUAACCUGCUUUUCUUGGGGAAAAAUUCCCCUUCUGCGCGUGGAUUUGACGGUACUCUAGGAAUAAGCAUCGGCUAACUCCGUGCCAGCAGCCGCGGUAAUACGGAGGAUGCGAGCGUUGUCCGGAUUUACUGGGUUUAAAGGGUGCGUAGGCGGGCGAUUAAGUGAGAGUUGAAAGGCAGUCGCUCAACCAUUGUAAUGGUUCUGAUACUGGUUGUCUUGAGAGUAGUGGAGGCAGAUGGAAUGAGUGGAGUAGCGGUGAAAUGCAUAGAUACCACAUGGAACACCGAUUGCGAAGGCAGUCUGCUACGCUGUAUCUGACGCUGAGGCACGAAAGCGUGGGGAGCAAACAGGAUUAGAUACCCUGGUAGUCCACGCCCUAAACGAUGGUUACUCGGUGUUCGCCUGAAUAGGUGAUUGCCUAAGCGAAAGCGAUAAGUAACCCACCUGGGGAGUACGACCGCAAGGUUGAAACUCAAAUGAAUUGACGG